UGCGUCUACUCCACACAAUAGGCGCCGUUCACUAAAAUAAAGGAGGACAAACAUCCGUUGACUCGCGGUGCGGCAGUGUGGAGACCUGUCGUAAUGCGUUCGCUGUUUUACCCGGCGUCCGCGAGGGCAUACAUUGAGGAUUCAGUAUGCCUGGAGUCGUAAAAGUAUGGCA
This 172-nucleotide non-coding RNA is filed under the name uncultured Faecousia sp. Its description in RNAcentral is "malK-I RNA". It matches the Rfam family "malK-I RNA". Lineage: Bacteria; Bacillati; Bacillota; Clostridia; Eubacteriales; Oscillospiraceae. The record is from RNAcentral.